AGUGAACGCUGGCGGUAGGCCUAACACAUGCAAGUCGAACGGCAGCACAGUAAGAGCUUGCUCUUACGGGUGGCGAGUGGCGGACGGGUGAGGAAUACAUCGGAAUCUACUUUUUCGUGGGGGAUAACGUAGGGAAACUUACGCUAAUACCGCAUACGACCUACGGGUGAAAGCAGGGGAUCUUCGGACCUUGCGCGAUUGAAUGAGCCGAUGUCGGAUUAGCUAGUUGGCGGGGUAAAGGCCCACCAAGGCGACGAUCCGUAGCUGGUCUGAGGGGAUGAUCAGCCACACUGGAAAUUAGACACGGUCCAGACUCCUACGGGAGGCAGCAGUGGGGAAUAUUGGACAAUGGGCGCAAGCCUGAUCCAGCCAUACCGCGUGGGUGAAGAAGGCCUUCGGGUUGUAAAGCCCUUUUGUUGGGAAAGAAAAGCAGCAGGUUAAUACCCCGCUGUUCUGACGGUACCCAAAGAAUAAGCACCGGCUAACUUCGUG
RNAcentral lists this ribosomal RNA (492 nucleotides) under uncultured bacterium. RNAcentral's name for it is "partial 16S ribosomal RNA". It matches the Rfam family "Bacterial small subunit ribosomal RNA", at positions 29 to 507 of the family's 1533-position model. The record is from RNAcentral.